RNAcentral lists this long non-coding RNA (5753 nucleotides) under Populus tremula. Its description in RNAcentral is "long non-coding RNA (PTRE_LNC000951)". Lineage: Eukaryota; Viridiplantae; Streptophyta; Magnoliopsida; Malpighiales; Salicaceae. The record is from RNAcentral.
GCACCGAUCUCUUAAAGCUUCUGCAAUGUUUGAUUUAUACGGUCUCAAAGAUGAGAAUAUUUUGUGCGCUACUUCCUUUGAAGCAUGCAUCGGUGACAAGUACACCAGUUCCGUAGAUCAAUGCUUUCAAGGACUCUUGGAUAGGUGAUUUGUCACCAGGAAGUACAUCAGCAGAUGCCAUUGAUUCCUCUGAAAAAUCAUAAACUGACACUGUACGACCAUAAAGUAUUAUUCCAAUUCUUGCUGUAGGGGGGAGUGAGUGAAUCCGCAAAUGCAUGCAAAGAGCUUUGUAAAUGCUGCAGGUGGGGUUCAUCUAAACAGUCAUCUAUAACAAGUACAACGGGUGCAGACAUUCUGGAAUCAGAAACAGGAAUAAAACCAGGUCUCUUGUUCCCAGUUUGAACAUAAUCAACAAUGGGAGAUGAAAGUUCUGGAAAGUUGCGAAGAUCUUCUUUGCUUGGAGCUACAUAUUCACCUUCACUUCCAUUCAGUAUCUGGCAAAUCACACAUUGCCACUGGCCUGAACCAAGUAAUAUCUUGCAAUAAAGAUUUGCAUAAGCUCCACAAUUGUGGCAACGAUGAGGAUCGCGCUGUAAUAUUUGAGGACCUGGAAAAAUCUCUCUCCCGGGAGAAAAUAAUGCCCCAAAGCCCAAACUUGGAACAUUUGUUAGUUUCUUUUGCUUCAAGACCUAAUAACAAAAUGAACCGAGCUCGAGUUCAAUUGAAAAUUGCAACUCCAAUGUAAACAAAAAAAUCACAAGAUUCAAGGAUAUAUAUAGGUGAGGCAUUUGGAAAGAAAGGAUAAUCUGACAACAAUUUAUUAACCAAACAAAAAGGUGCUCUCAAAAUCACAACAACAAUCUCAUAAAAGACAGAAAAGAAAAAAAAUUCCCACAACAAUUGGUGCCUUCAGUUUGUACAGGAGAGAGAAUGAUAGAGAUACCUUGUGAGCAGAGAACAAAGCACAUGAUGAUUCAUUGACAAGUGUCGAGUCCUCUGUAGCAAGGGGAACUUGGUGCUGCAACUCAACUGAACCAUUUAAAAAAUGAGGAGGCGAGGAUGUUGGCAAUGUUGAGCCUGAUGAGAAAGCAAUUGGUUGAGGAGUUGCAGGAGAAGUCCGAAAAGGCACAGCAGCAGGCCGGACUGGCGAUUUAAAAACAGGAGGACCAGGGGGGGUGCUUAGAUGAGGAAGGGGGCUCCUAACCCCAUUGGCAGGUGACAACAAAUUUGGGUUCUGGAAAAAAGGGGAAGGGAUCUGAUCUUGUAGCAAUUUAGGAGGAGGAAAUCGAGGAGCUCCAGGUAACAUUGUAGCAGGAGGAGCUGAAUUUUUAUCUAGUUGAGGGGUUGAUGAGUCAGAGUUUGAGGGAGUAACAGUAGAAUAUCCAAGGGAAGGUGGUGGUGGAUUAGUCAUUGCAAUUCAAAGUUUCUCUAUCGAAUAAUCAAGAAUAACCUAGAAGCCAAAAUCAAACUCUAUAGAAAGCUACAGACAGUUGUAUCCCAGGGCCAAUUAUGACAAGAGAAUUCAAAGUGACAACUUUGAGACUGUCAAUUGAUUAUUGAUUGAAAUUCAAUUAAGAAUCAUAAACAAAACAGCCUACAAAGGUCUGAUACACCGGCAGCUCAAGAAUUGCAAUCCAAUCUCAAUAUUGAUGCGGAAGAAGAUACCGAAUGGGAUGACCUUGACAAACCAAAACCCCCAAGUAAAAUCUAAAACCCCAGAGCAAGAAAGGGCUUUGAUGCAAAUCCAGUUCAAGAAAUCCCCAGUAAAAUCAAGAACCCAACUAAAGAACCAAAAUUAUCAGCUUCAGAGAUCAAAUUGAAUGCAAGAAAACCUGAUCUCUCCGCAUAAUUGGGCACCAAAAUCUUCCUCUCGCACAGACAUCUGAAAGAAAAGGAGACCAGUUAGAAUUCCACUUUGUGUCAAGAAAAAGGAUCUAGUUUUCUUCAGCAAAACAAAACCAAUAUUGAAUGAAAUUGAGACGAGGACAGUAGAAUCGACGUACCUGAGAGGGAAAGAAGGAAAAUUGAAAGAUUUGCAGAGUAAAUCUUCAGUCCCUUUUUUAAAAAUCUUAAUUAAAAAAUGGAAAUAUUUUCGAAGUGAUUUUAUAAUCUUUUUGGAUUCUGGGUCCUUUGUCCUCGCAAGCUAGGGAGCUCUCUCUCGUCUCCUGUUGUGUUCGAUUUUCCUUUUACACGAGAGGGAGAAGACAGCAACGUUGCAGUUUGGUCCACAUAAAGUCAACAGGCCAUUUUUUAAUUGUCUUUCUGUAACAGGAUGAAUCGCGAAUGAAGAUCUCCGAUGUCGUUCCAACCCUUCGUUAAAUUAAUUCAACUUCCUCCGAAUUACGGCCCUCGUUACUUUGCGCCUGCAAAGCCCCACUCUGUGAAUCGAAUAAAAAGAAAACACUAAAUUACAAAUUACGUUUACAAAAUAUUAUAAUAAAACUUUAUCAAUAAGAUAAAUUUACACGUUUAUAUAAAAAAAUUAUCUAUUUAUUUUUUUAUUAUCAUCAUCAUUAUUUUUAUUUUAUUUUUAAAAUGAUUUAGGAAAAAAAACGUUAAGGUAAAUAUUUUAAAAAUAUUAGUUCUAACAUUAAUUUUUUUUUAUUAGAGUGAAUCAGGAAUUGAACUCUAAAUUACUUUCAUAUUAUUUGGAUCUCCUUUGGGAACUGCAAAUGGAAAACUUCACGAAGAAUCAUGCCUGAAAGAGGCGGAGCAAAGGAGAUCCGACAUGCCAUCAAAAUAACGGUGAAGAUGGGACAAAACCAGGAAGGCUUUAUUGCUCAUCCAAAGCAUUUCAACCGGGAAACAGUAUAGGACGGGGACCACUUCAAACCUUUUCAAGUGACGGUGAGUACAGAUGUUUUCUUUGUGAAAAAAAAAUAUUAAGGAUGAGAUCAUAGCCGCCGAAGACACCAUCCAGGUUACACCCCCUCGACCACGGAAAGAACAAAAAAAUAGAGACGGGAGAAGAUGGGUUUCCACGGGCGAGGCAGGAUGCAGUUCCCAAGACUCCCUUUUCUUGGAAGUACAUUAGCAAUUAAAUAAUGUAAAACUACAAAUUAACUUGGUUCUGGGGGCACCACUUUCAGACUCCGCAUCCACUCGCAGAAACUUGGAUCAUCAAAGUGAAUAAAGCUGCUUUUUAGCUUUGUUCGUUGUUCUGUUGUCAGAGAUCGAAGCUGCGGGAAUCUUGCCUCCUGCAAUCAAGUUCCAUCAAUUUGGUAAAAAUCCAACACUAUAAGCCUACUAAUAUUAUUGACCAAGAGCUUAUUUUUCUCUUUUCCACCAUAACCUGUUCAUAAGGUGGGUCCUUGUGUGCAGGUAUCAGCCGAGAAACAAAAUAUCUAGCUUGAGAGCUUCCCUCCUGUCAUUAACCCAAACCAACAAGUUGAUCAGUUCGGCCACAAAAGGAAAAAACUUAGGACAAAGGUGCACAGAAAUGGAUUGCAAAGAAUCAAGGGAAGAAAAACCUUGAAUGCAAGGAUUCUAGGUGCUGGAAACCGCAAUUCAGUUAUCUCUUCAGCUAAUGUUCUGCAGGCAGCUAAAGCAGCUGCACUUCUUCCUUCAUCAGCGGCUAGCUCAGCACCCUGUAGUUAGCAGUUAUUGAGAAAGUAUCUUUGUAUAUCAGGACAUAAAUGCCAGCUGACACAGAAAGAAACUCGAGAUAUAGACUAGCGGACUCAAACCAACACUAGUUUGGUAUAUGCAUGUCCAUAGCAAUCAGAUAUCCUCUCAGAAACAGGCAGUCGUGGUGAGGAAAAUUAACAUAAAAGCUGCCAGCUGAAAAUAUAGAAAUUGAUAUUUAAGCGGAAGACUGGCAUCAUUAGAGUUACUAGCACGCUUCUUACCUUCAAUCUAUUACUUCAGAAUUAGAAAAAAAUGCCUCUAAAUUUCUUUUUUUAUUGAAUCACAAAAGGAUUCCUUUUUCUGAAACAAUUAUAAGCAGGGAAGCAAUAAAUGUUUUCCCUUUGUUUCACCUAUCAAUAUUUCUGCCAGGAAAUGUCAUGCUUGAAUGUUUUUCCAUCACCUGAAAUUAGAUCAUUACAUAAACCAUAGCACAGACAAGUGUUUGUCCCCUCCCUAUAUCUGCAAUAAAUUCUUGAAUUUCCUUCCCGGUCAAAAACUUUAAUAGAAAAUACCGACUUUUUUAUCCAUGACACAAAAGUGCUCACAAACCAUGCAAAAACAGACAGCAGACACACCCACAGUUGAAGAUGCUCAGUUCAUGAGAAACGCAGGGGAAAUAAACAUACAAAAUAAAAAUAUUCAAUAAUUAGCAAUAUCAGGGAAUUGCAAAAGGAUGCCAACAUAAAACAGCAAGAAGAAAAGUCAAGUCACUUACCAACCAAAUGAAGACAUCUGUACCAUGGUCAAGAACAACAGCUGUAUCAGACUGCAUCGCAAGGUCAUAAGCUGGAAGUUCCUCAAAAGUGCCCCCUUCCCGGUGCAUUAGACAACGAGGUGCCACCAUACGGAGUGAAAGAUCAAAAGAUGCAUUCAAAAAUAAAUUCCGCAGCACAGACCUCUCAUCUUCAUGACCAACAAUGCUUCCCAAAAGAGGGCCCCGUCUAAGAUGGAAAAGGAGCUCUGGUAAUGCAGAGAGUUCUUUAGGAAAUCGAUGAAGUUUUGACUUGGGUACUAGGGACCCAAAUUUUAAAGCAAUGUCUUUAAUUCUUUCAUCUAUUGUUCCACGCAUAUCCAUGGCAUCUGAAUGGUUUUUGGCUCGCAAGAGGGUUCUCUUGGCCAUCAGGAUUGCAGCCACUUCAUCUUGAAAACUUUCAAGAUAUGCUGAAACACUAUCCACAGUAGGCAACCUGACAGUAACCACUCUUGAAAUAUCAGCUUGAUAAACGUUUGUGUAUUGAACAGUAAACUGGAAAAAUACACAAUCGCUCUUGAUGUCUCCUUUAGUUUCCAUAGAGAUUGCAAAGCUUUGGGUUUCUUCAACACUUAGCAUUUGAAUGCAGAGCGCAUUGUCAUUCUUGAAAGUUUCAUGUGUGUCUACAUGCGCUUCUUCACCAGGACCCACAACUUGAGUAAUUAAAAUAUCAUCAGAACAUCGAAUCUCCAACAAACCAUGGGAACCUGAUGCCCUAGAAGAUGCCCUUUGCAAAUUCACACCAAAGGCCUCCCCAAAGUCAUCGUGAAGAACCAAAACACCUCCAGAUGCCUUUGCAAGCGGCUGCAAAACUGGAAUUCUAACAGGGCAAGUUCCAGCACACAGAAUGUCAACUACUGUAUUAUUUCUAUGCGCUUCGCGGCCCAGGUUCUCCAUCCAUUUCAAGGCUGUUUUUUCCAGAUGAGGAUAAUUUGGGUGGCUAAAAGAAUGAGGAACUGAUCCAGGGCCCAUAUGUAUUAGGCCCGCCAGCACACACGAUGAUCCUGCUAUUGCCUCCAUUCCUUUUAACUACACCUCGGGACAUUUCUGCUGAUGGUCCUCGAAUUAUAGCCAGAGCAACCUCAACUGCAGUACCCAGGCACCGAUCUCUUAAAGCUUCUGCAAUGUUUGAUUUAUACGGUCUCUCAAAGAUGAGAAUAUUUUGUGCGCUACUUCCUUUGAAGCAUGCAUCGGUGACAAGUACACACCAGUUCCGUAGAUCAAUGCUUUCAAGGACUCUUGGAUAGGUGAUUUGUCACCAGGAAGUACAUCAGCAGAUGCCAUUGAUUCCUCUGAAAAAUCAUAAACUGACACUGUACGACCAUAAAGUAUUAUUCCAAUUCUUGCUGUAGGGGGGAGUGAAUCCGCAAAUGCA